AUUGAACGCUGGCGGCAUGCCUUACACAUGCAAGUCGAACGGCAGCGGACCUUCGGGUGCCGGCGAGUGGCGAACGGGUGAGUAAUAUAUCGGAACGUACCUUUCAGUGGGGGAUAACGUAGCGAAAGUUACGCUAAUACCGCAUAUUCUGUGAGCAGGAAAGCAGGGGAUCGCAAGACCUUGCGCUGAUUGAGCGGCCGAUAUCAGAUUAGCUAGUUGGUGAGGUAAAGGCUCACCAAGGCGACGAUCUGUAGCGGGUCUGAGAGGAUGAUCCGCCACACUGGAACUGAGACACGGUCCAGACUCCUACGGGAGGCAGCAGUGGGGAAUUUUGGACAAUGGGCGCAAGCCUGAUCCAGCCAUGCCGCGUGUGUGAUGAAGGCCCUCGGGUCGUAAAGCACUGUCGGGAGGGACGAAGAUCUGACGGUACCUCGCAAGAAAGCACCGGCUAACUCCGUGCCAGCAGCCGCGGUAAAGUCG
This 480-nucleotide ribosomal RNA is filed under the name uncultured bacterium. RNAcentral's name for it is "bacterial SSU rRNA". It matches the Rfam family "Bacterial small subunit ribosomal RNA", at positions 30 to 527 of the family's 1533-position model. The record is from RNAcentral.